GCUAGUAAUGGCAGGUCAGCAUACUGCCGUGAAUACGUUCCCGGGCCUUGUACACACCGCCCGUCACACCAUGAGAGUUGGGAAUACCCGAAGCCUGUGAGCUAACAUUAUGAGGCAGCAGUCGAAGGUAGAAUCAAUGAUUGGGGUGAAGUCGUAACAAGGUAAC
RNAcentral lists this ribosomal RNA (166 nucleotides) under uncultured bacterium. RNAcentral describes it as "partial 16S ribosomal RNA". It matches the Rfam family "Bacterial small subunit ribosomal RNA", at positions 1334 to 1500 of the family's 1533-position model. The record is from RNAcentral.